AGAGUUUGAUUAUGGCUCAGGACGAACGCUGGCGGCGGUGCUUAACACAUGCAAGUCGAGCGGAGAAUAUAGCAAUAUAUUCUUAGCGGCGGACGGGUGAGUAACGCGUGGGUAACCUGCCUUUUACAGGGGGAUAACACUGGGAAACUAGUGCUAAAUACCGCAUAAAAAUAGUGAAGUGGCAUCAACUUUACUAUCAAAGGAGCAAUCCGGUAAAAAGAUGGACCCGCGUCCGAUUAGCUAGUUGGAGGGGUAACGGCCCACCAAGGCGACGAUCGGUAGCCGAACUGAGAGGUUGAUCGGCCACAUUGGGACCGAGACACGGCCCAGACUCCUACGGGAGGCAGCAGUGGGGAAUAUUGCGACCAAUGGGGGAAACCCUGACGCAGCAACGCCGCGUGAAGGAUGAAGGUUUUCGGAUUGUAAACUUCUUUGAUUGGGGACGAUAAUGACGGUAACCCAAAAAACAAGCCACGGCUAACUACGUGCCAGCCGCCGC
Molecule: ribosomal RNA, 499 nt
Filed under: uncultured bacterium
Lineage: Bacteria
Description: bacterial SSU rRNA
Rfam family: Bacterial small subunit ribosomal RNA
Source: RNAcentral